GGCUCAGGAUGAACGCUGGCGGUCUGCUUAACACAUGCAAGUCGAACGGGCUCUUCGGAGCUAGUGGCGGACGGGUGAGUAACGCGUGAGAAUCUGCCCUUAGGACGGGGACAACAGCUGGAAACGGCUGCUAAUACCCGAUAUGCCGAGAGGUGAAAUCUAAUUGGCCUGAGGAUGAGCUCGCGUCUGAUUAGCUAGUUGGUGAGGUAAAGGCUCACCAAGGCGACGAUCAGUAGCUGGUCUGAGAGGAUGAUCAGCCACACUGGGACUGAGACACGGCCCAGACUCCUACGGGAGGCAGCAGUGGGGAAUUUUCCGCAAUGGGCGCAAGCCUGACGGAGCAAGACCGCGUGCGGGAGGACGGCCUAUUGGUUGUAAACCGCUUUUGAUAGGGAAGAAGCUCUGACGGUACCUAUCGAAUCAGCAUCGGCUAACUCCGUGCCAGCAGCCGCGGUAAUACGGAGGAUGCAAGCGUUAUCCGGAAUUAUUGGGCGUAAAGCGUCCGUAGGUGGUUGAACAAGUCUGCUGUUAAAGCGUGCGGCUUAACCGCAUAUCAGCAGUGGAAACUGUUCGACUAGAGUGCGGUAGGGGUCAGGGGAAUUCCCAGUGUAGCGGUGAAAUGCGUAGAUAUUGGGAAGAACACCGGUGGCGAAAGCGCCUGACUGGGCCUGCACUGACACUGAGGGACGAAAGCUAGGGGAGCGAAAGGGAUUAGAUACCCCUGUAGUCCUAGCCGUAAACGAUGGACACUAGGUGUUGCCCGUAUCGACCCGGGCAGUGCCGUAGCCAACGCGUUAAGUGUCCCGCCUGGGGAGUACGCUCGCAAGAGUGAAACU
Molecule: ribosomal RNA, 836 nt
Filed under: uncultured bacterium
Lineage: Bacteria
Description: bacterial SSU rRNA
Rfam family: Bacterial small subunit ribosomal RNA
Source: RNAcentral